RNAcentral lists this ribosomal RNA (343 nucleotides) under uncultured Planctomycetota bacterium. Its description in RNAcentral is "bacterial SSU rRNA". It matches the Rfam family "Bacterial small subunit ribosomal RNA", at positions 30 to 351 of the family's 1533-position model. The record is from RNAcentral. Lineage: Bacteria; Pseudomonadati; Planctomycetota.
AUCGAACGCUGGCGGCGUGGCUAAAGCAUGCAAGUCGAACGCGAAAGCUCCCGCAAGGGAGCAAGUAGAGUGGCGGAAGGGCGAGGAAUACAUGGGCAACGUACCCUGAGCUUGGGGAUAGCUGCGAGAAAUUGCAGGUAAUACCCGAUGACACCACAGUUUCACAAGCGAUUGUGGUCAAAAGCGGGGACCCUUUCGGGGGCCUGUUGGCUCUUGAGCGGCCCAUGUCCUAUCAGCUAGUUGGUGAGGUAACGGCCCACCAAGGCAACGACGGGUACCGGGACUGAGAGGUUGACCCGGCGCAUUGGGACUGAGACACUGCCCAGACUCCUACGGGAGGCUG